UACGAAGGGGGCUAGCGUUGUUCGGAAUCACUGGGCGUAAAGGGCGCGUAGGCGGCCGAUCAAGUCGGGGGUGAAAGCCUGUGGCUCAACCACAGAAUUGCCUUCGAUACUGUUUGGCUUGAGACCGGAAGAGGUUAGUGGAACUGCGAGUGUAGAGGUGAAAUUCGUAGAUAUUCGCAAGAACACCAGUGGCGAAGGCGGCUCACUGGCCCGGUACUGACGCUGAGGUGCGAAAGCUAGGGGAGCAAACAGG
This 253-nucleotide ribosomal RNA is filed under the name uncultured bacterium. Its description in RNAcentral is "partial 16S ribosomal RNA". It matches the Rfam family "Bacterial small subunit ribosomal RNA", at positions 524 to 776 of the family's 1533-position model. The record is from RNAcentral.